CAGUCAAUGCAUUAAAUUGUUGAUAAUGAAACACUAUCUUCGAUGGUCAGGACAUGUAGCAAGAAUGGAAGAGUCAAGAUUCCCAUACCAAGACUUAUUCAGUGAGCUUACA
Long non-coding RNA from Octopus sinensis (East Asian common octopus), 112 nucleotides. RefSeq lists it as uncharacterized. The record is from RefSeq and is a predicted model, not a curated record. The transcript has 4 exons. NCBI's taxonomy places the organism in Eukaryota, Metazoa, Mollusca, Cephalopoda, Octopoda, Octopodidae.